Molecule: long non-coding RNA, 781 nt
Filed under: Homo sapiens (human)
Lineage: Eukaryota; Metazoa; Chordata; Mammalia; Primates; Hominidae
Description: non-protein coding lnc-POTED-9:1
Source: RNAcentral
UUUAUAUGUCUUUAUUUAUUUAUCCUUAUUUUAUUAUUUAAUUUAUAAUUUGUUUUUGAAAAAUGGUCUGUCUCCCAGGCUGGAGUGCAGUGGCAUGAACAUAGCUCACUGCAGCCUCCUGGGUUCCUGUGACCUCCCAGCUCAGACUCCUGAGUAGGUAGCACUUCAGGCAUAACAGGUGUGCACCACCACAGUCAGAUUUUGUUUUGUUUUGUUUUUGUAGAGACUGGGUUUCAUUAAGAUGGUACAGGCAUUGGGUAAGUUUUGUCAAUCCAAAGGGGAGAGGUGUGCCAGGAAAAUAACACAAAUGGGAUCACAGGGCCAAUGCAAGUCCAAAACCCAGGAGGCCAGUAUCCAUUCAAUCUCACUGCUCCAAAACAAUCACAAGAACUCAUCAUCAUGAGGAAAGGAUUAAGGAGAUGGUGUUUAACCAUUUGUGAAGGAUCCUACCCCCACCCCCACUUUUCACCCCUCACCCCCACCAUAAUCCACCCAUUCUCCCCAAUCCCCACCUUCCAAUACCCAGUGCCCUCCACGAUUAAAUCACCUUCCACCUGGCCCCACUUUCAACAUUUCUGAUUACAAUUCCAUAUGAGUUUCCAUAGGGACACACAGCCAAAUCUUAUUAUUCUGUCCCUGCCCCACAAAUCUCAUGUCCUUCUCACUUUGCAAAAUACAAUGAUGCCUUACUUACCAUUCCCCAAGCCACUGUGCUUUUUUUUUACAGCCUGCAGAACCAUGAGCCCAUUAAACCCCUUUUUGUUAUGAUCAUACAGAAAAU